RNAcentral lists this ribosomal RNA (253 nucleotides) under uncultured bacterium. Its description in RNAcentral is "partial 16S ribosomal RNA". It matches the Rfam family "Bacterial small subunit ribosomal RNA", at positions 524 to 776 of the family's 1533-position model. The record is from RNAcentral.
UACAGAGACUGCAAGCGUUAUUCGGAUUCACUGGGCGUAAAGGGUGCGCAGGCGGCCAGGUGUGUCAGGUGUGAAAGCCCGGAGCUUAGCUCCGGAAUUGCGCCUGAAACUACUUGGCUAGAGCAUUGGAGAGGGUAGCGGAAUUCACGGUGUAGCAGUGAAAUGCGUAGAUAUCGUGAGGAACACCAGAGGCGAAGGCGGCUACCUGGACAAUUGCUGACGCUCAGGCACGAAAGCGUGGGGAGCAAAAGGG